GCUUAAAUAGUUUAUUUUUAAAAUAUUAGAUUGUGGAACUAAAGAAUAUUUUUAAGCA
RNAcentral lists this transfer RNA (58 nucleotides) under Uroctonus mordax (western forest scorpion). Its description in RNAcentral is "tRNA-His". Lineage: Eukaryota; Metazoa; Arthropoda; Arachnida; Scorpiones; Chactidae. The record is from RNAcentral.